GCCAGGUGUGGUGGCGCAGGCCUAUAAUCCCAGCGGCUCUGGAGGCUGAGGCAGGAGGAUUGUGAGUUCAAAGCCAGCUUCAGCAACAGCAAGGCACUAAGUAACUCAGUGAGAUCCUGACUCUA
RNAcentral lists this small RNA (125 nucleotides) under Marmota monax (woodchuck). The record is from RNAcentral. Lineage: Eukaryota; Metazoa; Chordata; Mammalia; Rodentia; Sciuridae.